Molecule: transfer RNA, 55 nt
Filed under: Asaccus platyrhynchus
Lineage: Eukaryota; Metazoa; Chordata; Lepidosauria; Squamata; Phyllodactylidae
Description: partial tRNA-Cys
Source: RNAcentral
CCGAAGUGCAAGAUUGGAGACGAACUCAGACGGUUCCGGGGCUUCUCCCGUUUUU